UACGAAGGGUGCAAGCGUUACUCGGAAUUACUGGGCGUAAAGCGUGCGUAGGUGGUGAGUUAAGUCUGUCGUGAAAGCCCCGGGCUCAACCUGGGAAUUGCAUUCGAGACUGCGUAGCUAGGGUGCGGAAGAGGGAAGCGGAAUUUCCGGUGUAGCGGUGAAAUGCGUAGAUAUCGGAAGGAACACCAGUGGCGAAAGCGGCUUCCUGGUCCAGCACCGACGUUCAGGCACGAAAGCGUGGGGAGCAAACAGG
Molecule: ribosomal RNA, 253 nt
Filed under: uncultured bacterium
Lineage: Bacteria
Description: partial 16S ribosomal RNA
Rfam family: Bacterial small subunit ribosomal RNA
Source: RNAcentral